Molecule: ribosomal RNA, 498 nt
Filed under: uncultured bacterium
Lineage: Bacteria
Description: partial 16S ribosomal RNA
Rfam family: Bacterial small subunit ribosomal RNA
Source: RNAcentral
GACGAACGCUGGCGGCGUGCCUAAUACAUGCAAGUCGAACGAGAGCGACCGGUGCUUGCACUGGUCAAUCUAGUGGCGAACGGGUGAGUAACACGUGGGUAACCUGCCCAUCAGAGGGGGAUAACAUCCGGAAACGGAUGCUAAAACCGCAUAGGUCUUCGAGCCGCAUGGCUUGAAGAGGAAAAGAGGCGCGAGCUUCUGCUGAUGGAUGGACCCGCGGUGCAUUAGCUAGUUGGUGAGGUAACGGCUCACCAAGGCCGUGAUGCAUAGCCGACCUGAGAGGGUGAUCGGCCACAUUGGGACUGAGACACGGCCCAAACUCCUACGGGAGGCAGCAGUAGGGAAUCUUCCGCAAUGGACGCAAGUCUGACGGAGCAACGCCGCGUGAGUGAAGAAGGUGUUCGGAUCGUAAAACUCUGUUGUUAGAGAAGAACAAGUGCUAGAGUAACUGUUAGCGCCUUGACGGUAUCUAACCAGAAAGCCACGGCUAACUACGUG